ACAUCUCAACUCCUCACGGUUUGCCCGUGAUGAGCUUGGACUUUGGGGGUCUUGCCGGCCUGCGGGUCGGCUCCUCUCAAAUGAAUCAGCUUGCCGGUGUUUGGUGGCGUCACAGGUGUGAUAACUAUCUACGCUUGUGGUUUUCCGCCAGGUAGCCUCCAGCAAUGGGGGUUCACUGGAGCUCACAAACGUCUCGCCUCGGUGAGGACAGCUCUUUGAAC
RNAcentral lists this unclassified non-coding RNA (221 nucleotides) under uncultured Tomentella. RNAcentral's name for it is "sequence contains ITS2". Lineage: Eukaryota; Fungi; Basidiomycota; Agaricomycetes; Thelephorales; Thelephoraceae. The record is from RNAcentral.